CUUUAGUGAUGAUGGAGCAAGAAAGAAGUUUCUUCGAAGGUAACCCAGUGUUUUAUUAGCUUUGGACGCUACAUGUUCUGUAUGUAAUUUCCAGGACAAAGUGUUAGUUAUGUGGACGCCAAGGUACCGGUAAGAUGUAACAGUUUCAAGGGGGCGACUGUGAAGAAACUGGCAGACCAGCUCUGGGCCAUCCGGCAAGCUGAAGAUGCCGCCCGGGUCCAAGGACUUCGAGCGGUCACCUGAGGCACAACCAUCAUAAUCGACGGAGAGUGGCAAGGCACACGGGUUGAUUGCCCCUUCCCCUACCUUACCCGGUGAAAACUGCCGGACAUAAAGUUUAUUCAUUCAUUCAUUUCUGAAGUCAAGUGCCAUACCCUGUUCCACUGCUGAUGGGUUGCUGUGGCUUUGUCGAACUGUCAUUUGACAACUUUUUUCUGGCCACCCUUUUUUCACCCUGAAGGUUGUUAUUUGUGGUGAAAAUAAAAGUCUUUGAUUGAUUCA
Long non-coding RNA from Rhipicephalus microplus (southern cattle tick), 501 nucleotides. The record is from RefSeq and is a predicted model, not a curated record. NCBI's taxonomy places the organism in Eukaryota, Metazoa, Arthropoda, Arachnida, Ixodida, Ixodidae.